UUGUUUGUUUAUUUAUUGUACCUAGGAUUGAACUCGGGACCUUGUGCUUGCAAGGCAUGCCGUGGAACCACUCACUGAGCUAAAUCCCCGGCCCAAUGUUAGUUUUUACUAGUGAAGCAUCAGAACAUGUCUUCCACCAGGAGAAUUCACAGUACCAGCACAGCUCCGAAUUCCCGCCCAGGAAUCCCAGUGAAUGCUGAGGAAGCACCUUUUACUCUCUUUCACCGCCCACAUCUACAGUGCUCCUGCAUGAAUCUCUGGUUCUUUACUCACAACAGCAUGGCCUGCGAAGGAGGAGGAAACAAGAGGUGGGGAAUAAAGGAGGUUUUUGAGGUGGGUUUUUCUCUUCUGACGCACACAGUUUUUCCGAUGGCCAGUUCAAUGACAAGGAGCAAAACUGAUCUGGGCAACAGCAUCAUCACUGGAACCUUCAUUCAGCUUUUCUGUGAGGCACUAAUAAAAACAUUAAAAUUUUACAGGCAAAUGUAUGUCUGCAGAUAAAUGAACGUGAAGUGCCUAAGAAUUUUGCUUUUUAAUAUUUGCAUUAAUCGAAUAUACUAUUUUUUAGAGCCUUCACUAUUUAUUUUAAGAGAAAUUCUAAGUUAUUUGACCUAGUAUUACAGUUGAGAUUUUCAAAACCAAAACCAAAACCAAACCAAAACAUCUUAGUACAGAUUAUCUGCCGGAAUUGUUUGGAAGCAUCAAAUUAUAAAGAAGUAUUGUAAUACAGCAAACCAAAAAAUCUUCA
Molecule: long non-coding RNA, 748 nt
Filed under: Fukomys damarensis (Damara mole-rat)
Lineage: Eukaryota; Metazoa; Chordata; Mammalia; Rodentia; Bathyergidae
Description: lncRNA (ENSFDAG00000022669.1)
Source: RNAcentral